AGCAACUGCUAACAGCGAGGAAGGGUUUUGAAAGGUAAAGGCCAUUAGCUUGGAGGCAGAAGACAGACCUCCCUGACUGCUGAAUUCUUCCCGGCCUGAAAUUGGAGCAUUCCAAGCUCGUCAGAUGAGUCAUAAGCCGCCAAGAGUGUGAGCCUCUGGGCUUCUCCCAGCUUGUAGGAGAAAUGCCUUGCAGGUGAAGAUGGUGAGGAGGUUGGCCCUGUAAUAGCCCAGCCCCUUGAAGAGACAAACGGGGAGGAGCGUCAUUCAGGUGCUUCUCUGGGAAAUGAACCAGGAUAAUGUUCAUCUUAAAAUAACCUACUUCAAUGAACAUUCAGCCAAAAGACAAAAGGAAAGUAUUGCUAGGUAGUGUGCAGCCACUCUGUCAUAGUCUUUUUUUUUUAAAUGAACACAAAUUCCUUGACUGUCUUCUUGCUGAGAGAUGAGGUCUAUGUCCCCCUCCUCCCCCCACUUGAAUCUGGAUGAGCUUGUGACUCACUUAUAACCAAGAAUAUGGAAGAAGUGAUGCUGUGUAAUCUCCUCAUGCCUGGAGCCUGUGAGCCUCUCUCUGAGAAGUCCAGCGCCCCUGAGCCCACCAUGCUGAAGAAGCCACUUGGAGAAGCCCCUGUUGACAGAGAGCCAGCAUCACCUGCCAGUCACCAGAAGUGAGCCAUCUCAGACAUCCAGCCCAGCUGAGCCUUCAACUGACUGCUGCCCCAACCAACAUGUGAACUGCAACUGCAUGAGAGACCCUCAAGUGAGAACCGCCCAGCUGAGCCUUUCCCAAGUUCCUGGCCCACAAAACCCAGAACAAAUUAAAAUGAGUGUUUUAAGCCAUUAAGGAGCAGGGUAAUUUUUUACACAGCAACAGUAACCAGGACAUAUUCCCAAACCUAACUAAGAGGAAAUUUCCUCUUGAUAAAAAUGCUGAUUUUUUUAUUCAUCCUAGACCUUCAUAAGUCAGAAUCACCUGUGGAUAAGGUGUAAGAAUCUGCAUUUUUUUUUUAAGACAAGCUCUCCUACCCCAGGUGAUUCAGAUGCACAGCCAGCUUUGGAAAUUUAAGACCUUGGAAGAGAGUCACAUUGCCUCUCUGAGUCUCAGCUUCCUUGUCUGUGAAUUGGGGAGGAGUGAGGGUUGGUGUGAGUAUCAAAGAAGAAGUUGCAGGUAAAGUCUUUAGGGCCAGCCAGGCGUGGUGGCUCUCACCUGUAAUCCCAGCACUUUGGGAGGCCAAGGCAGGUGGAUCAUGAGGUCAGGAGUUCAGCCUGGCCAAUAUGAUGAAACACUGUCUCUACUCAAAAUACAAAAAAAAUUAGCCAGGCAUGGUGGCAGGCGCCUGUAGUCCCAGCUACUCAGGAGGCUGAGGCAGGAGAAUUGCUUGAGCCCAGGAAGCAGAGGUUGCAGUGAGCCGAGAUCACGCCACUGCACUCCAGCCUGGGCGACAGAGCAAGACUCUGAAAAAAAAAAAAA
This 1465-nucleotide long non-coding RNA is filed under the name Pongo abelii (Sumatran orangutan). Its description in RNAcentral is "lincRNA". Lineage: Eukaryota; Metazoa; Chordata; Mammalia; Primates; Hominidae. The record is from RNAcentral.